GAUUCUGGGCGUAAGCGUGCGUAGGCGGUUCGUUAAGUCAGAUGUGAAAGCCCUGGGCUCAACCUGGGAACGGCAUUUGAAACUGGCGGACUAGAGUUUAGUAGAGGGGAGUGGAAUUUCAGGUGUAGCGGUGAAAUGCGUAGAUAUCUGAAGGAACACCAGUGGCGAAGGCGACUCCCUGGACUAGAACUGACGCUGAGGUACGAAAGCGUGGGUAGCAAACAGGAUUAGAUACCCUGGUAGUCCACGCUGUAAACGAUGUCAACUAGCCGUUGGUCCUAUUUACAGGAUUAGUGGCGCAGCUAACGCAUUAAGUUGACCGCCUGGGGAGUACGGCCGCAAGGUUAAAACUCAAAUGAAUUGACGGGGGCCCGCACAAGCGGUGGAGCAUGUGGUUUAAUUCGAUGCAACGCGAAGAACCUUACCUACCCUUGACAUCCAUAGAAUCA
Molecule: ribosomal RNA, 449 nt
Filed under: uncultured Gammaproteobacteria bacterium
Lineage: Bacteria; Pseudomonadati; Pseudomonadota; Gammaproteobacteria
Description: bacterial SSU rRNA
Rfam family: Bacterial small subunit ribosomal RNA
Source: RNAcentral